GCCAGACUCCUACGGGAGGCAGCAGUGGGGGAUAUUGCACAAUGGGGGGAACCCUGAUGCAGCGACGCCGCGUGGGUGAAGGAGCGUUUCGGCGCGUAAAGCCCUAUCGGCAGGGAAGAAGGAGGACGGUACCUGACUAAGAAGCCCCGGCUAACUACGUGCCAGCAGCCGCGGUAAUACGUAGGGGGCAAGCGUUAUCCGGAUUUACUGGGUGUAAAGGGGGCGCAGACGGCAGCGCAAGCCAGGAGUGAAAGCCCGGGGCUCAACCCCGGGACUGCUUUGGAAACUGCCUGACUGGAGUGCUGGAGAGGCAAGCGGAAUUCCUAGUGUAGCGGUGAAAUGCGUAGAUAUUAGGAAGAACACCAGUGGCGAAGGCGGCUUGCUGGACAGUAACUGACGUUGAGGCUCGAAAGCGUGGGGAGCAAACAGGAUUAGAUACCGGG
RNAcentral lists this ribosomal RNA (443 nucleotides) under uncultured bacterium. RNAcentral's name for it is "bacterial SSU rRNA". It matches the Rfam family "Bacterial small subunit ribosomal RNA", at positions 330 to 790 of the family's 1533-position model. The record is from RNAcentral.